Molecule: ribosomal RNA, 1965 nt
Filed under: human gut metagenome
Description: bacterial LSU rRNA
Rfam family: Bacterial large subunit ribosomal RNA
Source: RNAcentral
UCAAGCUAAUAAGAGCACAGGGUGGAUGCCCAGGCACCAAACGCCGAAGAAAGACGUGGCAAGCUGCGAAAAGUCACGGGGAACCGCAAGCAGGUAUUGAUCCGUGAACGUCUGAAUGGGGAAACCCGGCGGGUUAACAGCCCGUCACUAUUAACUGAAUCAAUAGGUUAAUAGGGGGAACGCGGGGAACUGAAACAUCUCAGUACCCGUAGGAAGAGAAAAUAAAGAAUGAUUUCCUAAGUAGCGGCGAGCGAACGGGAAAGAGGCCAAACCGAAGGGCUUGCUCUUCGGGGUUGUGGAUCAGCAAAAAGGACGGAAGACCUUAGCAGAAGAGGAUUGGAAAGUCCCGCCAGAGAGGGUAAAAGCCCCUUACGCGAAAAGGUCAAACGACGAGCUGACACCAGAGUACCGCAGGACACGAGAAAUCCGGUGGGAAGCCGGGAGGACCACCUCCCAAGCCUAAAUACGAAUUGGUGACCGAUAGCGCAUAGUACCGUGAGGGAAAGGUGAAAAGAACCCCGGGAGGGGAGUGAAAAAGAACCUGAAACCCUGUGUUUACAAGCAGUGAAAGUGCGAGCAAGGCACGAUCACGUACUUUUUGUAGAACGGACCGGCGAGUUACGUUAUGCAGCAAGGUUAAGAACUGAAGGUUCGGAGCCGAAGCGAAAGCGAGUCUGAAUAGGGCGAUAGUUGCAUGACGUAGACCCGAAACCGGGUGACCUAUCCAUGAGCAGGUUGAAGUGGAGGUAAAGCUCCAUGGAGGACCGAACCAGACGUCUGUUGAAAAAGGCGGGGAUGACUUGUGGAUAGGGGAGAAAUUCCAAUCGAACCCGGAGAUAGCUGGUUCUCCUCGAAAUAGCUUUAGGGCUAGCCUCAUGGAUCAUUGGUGGGGGUAGAGCACUGAAUGUGCGCGGGGGCCACAAAGCCUACCAAACGCUAUCAAACUACGAAUACCAUACAAUGCAGACCAUGGGAGUCAGUCCGCGAGAGAUAAGUUCCGCGGGCAAAAGGGGAACACCCCAGAUCAACCGCUAAGGUCCCCAAGUUCACGUUAAGUGGAGAAGGAUGUGGAAUUGCACAGACAACCAGGAUGUUGGCUCAGAAGCAGCCACACAUUUAAAGAGUGCGUAAUAGCUCACUGGUCGAGUGAUUGUGCGCCGAAGAUGUCCGGGGCUAAACGUGACACCGAAGCGAUGGGUGCGUCUGAAGAAGAUGCGCGGUAGAGGAGCAAUGUGCAGAGGCAGAAGCCGUAUCGAGAGGCACGGUGGACACUGCACAAGAGAGAAUGCCGGUAUGAGUAGCGAGAGGCAUGCGAGAAACAUGCCCGUCGAAAGCCCAAGGUUUCCUGGGGAAGGUUCAUCCGCCCAGGGUAAGUCGGGGCCUAAGCCGAGGACGGAAGUCGUAGGCGAUGGACAGCAGGUGUAGAUUCCUGCACUACCGAUGGAAUGAAGCAGUGACACAGAAGGAUAACUCGAGCAGGGUGAUGGUCAACCCUGUGCAAGCAUCAAGGUUGGGUUGUAGUGAAGUACGCAAUCCUAUAAGCUGAGGUGUGAUGCGGACCGAAAUUUCAGUAGGGAAGCGAGUGAGUUCACGCUGGCGAGAAAAGCUGCUAGUACAUCCAAAGGUACCCGUACCGGAAACCGACGCAGGUGGGCGAGGAGAGAAUCCUGAGACGAACGGGAGAACCCUUGUUAAGGAACUCGGCAAAAUGACCCCGUAACUUCGGGAUAAGGGGUGCCUGCGAGAGCAGGCCGCAGAGAAUAGUCACAAGCGACUGUUUAGCAAAAACACAGGUAUCUGCGAAAGCGAGAGCUGACGUAUAGGUGCUGACACCUGCCCGGUGCUGGAAGGUUAAGGGAACAUGUUAGAGCAAUCGAAGCAUCGAACCGAAGCCCCAGUAAACGGCGGCCGUAACUAUAACGGUCCUAAGGUAGCGAAAUUCCUUGUCGGGUAAGUUCCGACCCG